Molecule: long non-coding RNA, 821 nt
Organism: Cebus imitator (Panamanian white-faced capuchin)
Lineage: Eukaryota; Metazoa; Chordata; Mammalia; Primates; Cebidae
Exons: 3
Source: RefSeq, a predicted model, not a curated record
AGAAAGGCUGGAAUGCCAUUAAAACAACAGCUUGUCAUCUUUCAAUCAGUCCUUAGCUGAAGUUAAAAUCCCACUCAUACUACAUGAUCCAGCCUCCGUAGCAUAGAGUGAGUAGCACCUAAACAAGAACCAAAAUGGAGGGUAUGGAUGAGGCUCAGAUCAUCACCCCCUGGAGAAUAGAGACAGUGUCUGAGUCGCCAGGAAGUCUGGCCCCUACUCAUCCUGGAAUCCCUGAACUUUGACUUUUUAAGAGAACAUACGACAGAUGAUGCCAUCGGAGAAGGAUUGCCUCCUUUGCUGUAUACUUUCCAGUGGGAUGAAGAUUUUGGUCCUUUGCUCAUUCAUGCUCCUGCUUUUCAAAACCCAAGCAACAAAUGAAGCCUCCGCAGCGACUUUGUCACUAUGAAAUCUCAGCAUUCACUAGCCGGCCAUGGUGAGCAACCAGACAAAUGGACACCUAUAUACCGGUCUGUACCUGCAGAGAGAGAACUGCAAAUCUCUGUGACCAUUAAGCUAUCUUAUCUUGUACAUUGUUAAAAGUCUGCUUCCAAAAAGUUUACAUCUCGAAUACUGUAAUUGAAUAGAAACAGGGACCCUACCUGGGUCCUUCAAAUUUCACACCUUGUCUACUGAAGUAAGGGUUGAAUAUGCGUGACUAUCUCUAAGGUUUACGGGCUUACCUGUUGGCAGUAGACUCAGUAGUUUCUACAUGGAAAUGGGGAAACCUGUGACAUCCCAAAUAUUAAGUAUAAAAGCUUUGUUUGUGUAUACUCAUGGCACCAUGCUUUUAAUAAAGAGAUAAUCUAUACAGUUUUCUUUUU